Molecule: ribosomal RNA, 486 nt
Filed under: uncultured bacterium
Lineage: Bacteria
Description: partial 16S ribosomal RNA
Rfam family: Bacterial small subunit ribosomal RNA
Source: RNAcentral
AUUGAACGCUGGCGGCAUGCCUUACACAUGCAAGUCGAACGGCAGCACGGGUGCUUGCACCUGGUGGCGAGUGGCGAACGGGUGAGUAAUACAUCGGAACAUGUCCUGUAGUGGGGGAUAGCCCGGCGAAAGCCGGAUUAAUACCGCAUACGAUCUACGGAUGAAAGCGGGGGACCUUCGGGCCUCGCGCUAUAGGGUUGGCCGAUGGCUGAUUAGCUAGUUGGUGGGGUAAAGGCCUACCAAGGCGACGAUCAGUAGCUGGUCUGAGAGGACGACCAGCCACACUGGGGGUGAGACACGGCCCAGACGCCUACGGGAGGCAGCAGUGGGGAAUGUUGGACAAUGGGCGAAAGCCUGAUCCAGCAAUGCCGCGUGUGUGAAGAAGGCCUUCGGGUUGUAAAGCACUUUUGUCCGGAAAGAAAUCCUUGGACCUAAGACGGUCGGGGGAUGACGGUACCGGAAGAAUAAGCACCGGCUAACUACGUG